AACCGGGAUAGGAGGGGUGUUGACGAGCCCUGUACCGCAAAUCGUAUCUGGCGGUCCGAACGCUCUCAGGCGGCGAAAGCGAGCCUUGGAUUUCCCACGUAUGGACGUAGAUGUCUCGCCCCUGAGUGACUCGGGUUGUCGCGAACCGUCUCCGGAGGGAGGCGGGAAGCGCGUAACUGGGGGACCAGGUCAGGCCGGGAACGGAGCAGCCCUACUCGGGGCCAUGGGUGCCUCGGGGUCACGGGACGGAGAAAGUACGUGGAUUGGAUUCAGGGAAACGAACGUCCACUGAGGGAAUUCCCACCU
Molecule: signal recognition particle RNA, 306 nt
Filed under: Candidatus Poseidoniaceae archaeon
Lineage: Archaea; Methanobacteriati; Thermoplasmatota; Candidatus Poseidoniia; Candidatus Poseidoniales; Candidatus Poseidoniaceae
Description: signal recognition particle sRNA
Rfam family: Archaeal signal recognition particle RNA
Source: RNAcentral